AUCCGCAGCUUCGGUGACUGGCUUAGCCCCGUUACAUCUUCCGCGCAGGACGACUCGAUCAGUGAGCUAUUACGCUUUCUUUAAAGGAUGGCUGCUUCUAAGCCAACCUCCUGACUGUUUUAGCCUUCCCACUUCGUUUGCCACUUAGCCAAUCUUUGGGACCUUAGCUGGCGGUCUGGGUUGUUUCCCUCUUGACGUCGGACGUUAGCACCCGGCGUCUGUCUCCCAAGCUCGCACUCAUCGGUAUUCGGAGUUUGCAAUGGUUUGGUAAGUCUCGAUGACCCCCUAGCCAUAACAGUGCUCUACCCCCGAUGGUGAUACUUGAGGCACUACCUAAAUAGUUUUCGGAGAGAACCAGCUAUUUCCAAGUUUGUUUAGCCUUUCACCCCUACCCACAGCUCAUCCCCUAAUUUUUCAACAUUAGUGGGUUCGGACCUCCAGUGCGUGUUACCGCACCUUCAUCCUGGCCAUGAGUAGAUCACUUGGUUUCGGGUCUACACCCAGCGACUGAACGCCCUAUUCGGACUCGAUUUCUCUACGCCUUCCCUAUACGGUUAAGCUUGCCACUGAAUGUAAGUCGCUGACCCAUUAUACAAAAGGUACGCAGUCAC
RNAcentral lists this ribosomal RNA (611 nucleotides) under Collimonas fungivorans. RNAcentral describes it as "23S ribosomal RNA". Lineage: Bacteria; Pseudomonadati; Pseudomonadota; Betaproteobacteria; Burkholderiales; Oxalobacteraceae. The record is from RNAcentral.